UGGAAUAGCAGAGUGUCAGAGGAGUCAGCAGCAGCAUUAGGGGGCGCUCACACAGUUUAAGACUGGGAGAGCUGAACUAUUCUCCCUAUGAACAAAGUAGCAACGAUGAUGUAGAAGCGUAUGUCACGUUAUACACAACAAGGUGGCGCUGAGGAGGUGGGUUGCAUAGAUGUGAGCAGCAAGCAGUUAGAGCAAACGAAAGCAGCUUUAAGUAAGGUACCCCAUUUGAGUGUAGCCAUUUAGCAGCUAGGGGGAGUUGACCAGCUGAUGCACUGAUGCAGAUCAGCUGUUGCAGCUCAGCUGAUGUUGUUGGCCAAGUCUUGACUACUUGGCCUGCCAGAACUGAC
Etheostoma spectabile (orangethroat darter) is the source of this 347-nucleotide long non-coding RNA. RefSeq lists it as uncharacterized. The transcript has 3 exons. The record is from RefSeq and is a predicted model, not a curated record. Lineage: Eukaryota; Metazoa; Chordata; Actinopteri; Perciformes; Percidae.